GAAGUAUGUACAGCACAUCAGCCUCUCGCCUGACUCCAUCCAGAACGAUGAGGCCGUGGCCCCGCUCAUGAAGUACCUGGAUGAGAAGCUGGCCCUGCUGAACGCCUCGCUGGUGAAGGGGAACCUGAGCAGGUGCGGGCAGGUGGGGUGGGAUAGGCUGGCCCGUGGUCACUGAUGCUGCCCUGCAGGGUGCUGGAGGAGGCCCUGCCCUGCAGGGUGCUGGAGGCCCUGUGGGAGCUACUCCUCCAGGCCAUUCUGCAGGCGCUGGGUGCAAACCGUGACGUCUCUGCUGAUUUCUACAGCCGCUUCCACUUCACGCUGGAGGUAGAGCUCUGUGAAGGAGUCCUUCCCGCUGGCCCCCGCCUCAGGGCUGCUCUGAUCCCUCCCUUUGUCCCCGCUGGCCUGCCUGGUCUCCUCUGCCUGGAGAACAGCCACUCCAGGGCUGUCCACAGCGCCUCCU
RNAcentral lists this small RNA (460 nucleotides) under Pongo abelii (Sumatran orangutan). RNAcentral describes it as "retained intron". Lineage: Eukaryota; Metazoa; Chordata; Mammalia; Primates; Hominidae. The record is from RNAcentral.